GUGAGGAAUUUUCCGCAAUGGGCGAAAGCCUGACGGAGCAAUGCCGCGUGAAGGAUGAAGGCCUAUGGGUUGUAAACUUCUUUUCUCAGAAAAGAAUUAUGACGGUAUCUGAGGAAUAAGCAUCGGCUAACUCUGUGCCAGCAGCCGCGGUAAGACAGAGGAUGCAAGCGUUAUCCGGAAUGAUUGGGCGUAAAGCGUCUGUAGGUUGUUUAAAAAGUAUUCUGUCAAAGAUUAAGGCUUAACCCUAGAUAGGCAGAAUAAACUUUUAAGCUAGAGUUUGGUAGAGGCAGGGGGAAUUCACGGUGGAGCGGUGAAAUGCGUAGAUAGCGGGAGGAACACCAAAGGCGAAGGCACUCUGCUGGGCCAAUACUAACACUGAGAGACGAAAGCGAGGGGAGCAAAUGGGAUUAGAUACCCGGGUAGUCC
RNAcentral lists this ribosomal RNA (426 nucleotides) under uncultured bacterium. RNAcentral describes it as "partial 16S ribosomal RNA". It matches the Rfam family "Bacterial small subunit ribosomal RNA", at positions 354 to 796 of the family's 1533-position model. The record is from RNAcentral.